RNAcentral lists this ribosomal RNA (433 nucleotides) under uncultured bacterium. RNAcentral describes it as "partial 16S ribosomal RNA". It matches the Rfam family "Bacterial small subunit ribosomal RNA", at positions 29 to 507 of the family's 1533-position model. The record is from RNAcentral.
AACGAACGCUGGCGGCAUGCCUAACACAUGCAAGUCUAACGAGACCUUCGGUUCUCGUGGCGCCCGGUUGCUUAACCCUUGGGAACCUGCCCUUAGGUUCGGAAUAACUCCCCGAAAGGGGUGCUAAUACCUGAUAUUGUCUUCGUACCAAAGAUUUAUCGGCUUGGGAUUGGCUCGCGUUUGAUUAGCUUUUUGGUAGGGUAAACUCCUACCAAGGCUACGAUCCAUAGCUGGUCUGAGAGGAUGAUCAGCCACACUGGGACUGAGACACGGCCCAGACUCCUAAGGGAGGAAGGAGUGGGGAAUAAUGAACAAUGGGAGAAAGGCUGAUCCAGCAAUGUCGCGUGAAUGAUGAAGGCCUUAGGGUUGUAAAGCUCUUUUACCCGGGAAGAUAAUGACAGUACCGGGAGAAUAAGCGACGGCUAAAUCCGUG